CACACGCACACACACGCUGCGGCUGCGGCCGGUGCUGCCGCACUGGGGGCGCGGAGCGGGCUCCUCCGGGCGGACAGGGAUUUGCAAGCUUUUAUACUGCUGAUGAGCAGAAGGCAGAGGAGACUUGCCUUUAAACUGGGAGCUUCAGUAUUAAACACAGAACUCGGCCUGCCAGUUGGGAUGUCACAAUGCUAAAUGUUUUACCUGGAGAGCAACUGUAGCAGUCGUGAGAGUUACAAGACUAUGCUGUAUGCUUCUUACAGAAACUGCAGACUCUUUUUGGCAACAGUCCUCAAUUUCCACCUGCAGAACUUGAUCAAAGGACUCUGCAACGUAUGAGACAGAGAAACUGUUUAAUUAAACUGCUUUUUGAAGUCCAACUUGUGAAGAGGCCAGACCACUGCACUGUAUCGUGUCUCACACAAGCAUUGCUGUCUGAGGUUGGAGCACCACUUUCCAUUGAAAUUACUGCAGUAUGGUGCAUCUUCUGUGGCUUUGUCCAUUCUUGCAACUUCUUUUGCACUGUUGGUCUGGCAUGAAUGGUACCGAUGGUGCAAAGAUUUGGGUAAAUCAUGGAUGCGUAUUUCCACCUUCAUCCUUCAUCAAUCCUUCCUUCAUCCAUUGCCCUGAGAAGCCGUGGAUGUCUCUUCCUGCAGGUGUUCAAGACCAGGCUGGAUGAGGCUUUGAGCAACCUGACCUAGUGGACUGUGUCCCUGCCUCUGGCAGGGGGGUUGGAACUAGAUGAUCCUUAAGGUCCCUUCCAACUGAAACCAUUCUAUGAUUCUAUGAAUCUAUGAUUCUAUGAUUGUAUGAUUCUAUGAUUCUAUGGUUUUAUCCUCUAGGUCUGUAUAAUGCAGUAAAAUUAGUAGAAAAACUGUGUAAAUCUAUAAUGAAAAUGUAUGUAAUGAAAACAAUGCCUUUUUUGAUGGCAGUUUAAUUGAAAGAAAUAUCUAUAUUUACAACUUAAUCCUUACGCUUGUAUCCCAGUUUUAGGUAAACAAAAAGUAAUGCAUACAAUUAGUAUUUUUUUUAACUACCAGGGAGCCAAGCAUCCCAAGUUGCUUGGGAAUACAGGCUCUAUUGUUUUGGAAGCAAAUUCUCAUAUGUGGUAAGCUGUGGGUACAAAUUAAAAGUUUAUCUUUAAAAACUAGAAUCCAGAAUGUUUUGUAUUCACACGGGAAGCAUAGAAAGUAAACUUGUGAAAUGACAUUGAAAAGAUUAGUAAUAAGAGAAAGCACCAAUACUGGUACAUAAAAUAAUGACUAGUUUUAACACAUGCUGUGUCACUGUAUCAGAGAGGAACAAAAGGAAAUUCAAUGAAUUGGGAAGGAAACAUUUAAAACUAAUAAAGUGAAUUUCCCUUUAGUACAAUGACUAACUGGCGUACUUAAGUCAUUACCACAAGAUACAGUAUCAGAAAUAAACAUUUCUGUGAAUAAGGAGAACAGUUAUAUUAGGCUGGAUAGAGAAUUUAUGUGGGAUAUAAACACUCAUGAUUCAGGACAUAAACCAGCUACUAAAUAAAAAUUGGCAAGACAUGUUCCCUAAGGGCAGAGCAGUCUUAUAUGGUGUUUCUCAUACUUUACUCUGACACAUUUUGAGGUACUAGUAAGUCUUGAAGAAAAGGUACCAAAUUAGGUUCAACAGUGGUAUAAUUAAACAUGGCAAUUCUUUUGCUCUAAGAUACUGUUCCUGAGCAUGAG
Molecule: long non-coding RNA, 1703 nt
Organism: Cuculus canorus (common cuckoo)
Lineage: Eukaryota; Metazoa; Chordata; Aves; Cuculiformes; Cuculidae
Exons: 7
Source: RefSeq, a predicted model, not a curated record